Non-coding RNA from Misgurnus anguillicaudatus (oriental weatherfish), 740 nucleotides. The record is from RefSeq and is a predicted model, not a curated record. Lineage: Eukaryota; Metazoa; Chordata; Actinopteri; Cypriniformes; Cobitidae.
GAUCAACUAACAGAUUUGGGCCAAAAUGUGAUUAUAAACUGUGAUCUGGACUCAAAUGAUGUUUAUUGGAUUUUACUGAAACAAUCAGAUUCUCAUACAGUGAUACUGCGCUCAUUCUCAAACCCAACAUCAGCUUUUCCUUUAAAUAAAACAUUUAAAAACAAAUAUUCAGUGCAAUCUAAACAUCGUCUGGUGAUAUAUAAUAUUACUGUAGAUGAGUUAGGAGUUUAUUACUGCAUGAACACAGAUACACCUCCAAAACUCAGUACCAGCACAAGACUGAACAUCAUCGGUUAGUGUUUAUAAAUAAUUCCCAAGUUAUUUAAACACUUUAAAUCAUUUACCAAUUGUUUUGAAAAAAAUGAAAGUGUUGACAAUCAGUCGUUAUUAAAAAAAUGAUUUCCUUUCAGAGCCGACUGAACUCACAAAGUUAUCUGUGUAUCUGAAUGAAACUUUAGUGAAGUGUAUACACAAUGAGACACAACGGCACUUUAUCAUCAUUAUAUCUGCUCUUCUGAUCAUUAUCAUCACUGUAGUUAGUUGUUACUCUAAAGAAAGAUUAAAGCUUCAGGAUACUAAACAUGUGUAUAUAAAACAACAUGAAGAGAUGAGCCGAGUUCAGUACACUGCAGUGAGAUUUUCAACAUGUGAGGAGUCUGAAGACACUUGAGUCGACUGAACUUCUGCUCUUCUAUCGGUUUCAUUUCUUAUAAUGUUUAAUAAAGUAUCUAUGUUAUCAG